CCUACGGGUGGCUGCAGUGAGGAAUAUUGGUCAAUGGCCGGAAGGCUGAACCAGCCAUGCCGCGUGAAGGUCAGUGCCCUAUGGGCGUUAAACUUCUUUUAAGAGGGAAGAGCAGAAGACGGUACCUCUUGAAUAAGCCACGGCUAACUACGUGCCAGCAGCCGCGGUAAUACGUAGGUGGCAAGCGUUGUCCGGAUUUACUGGGUGUAAAGGGCGUGCAGCCGGGAAGACAAGUCAGAUGUGAAAUCCCGCGGCUCAACCGCGGAACUGCAUUUGAAACUGUUUUUCUUGAGUACCGGAGAGGUCAUCGGAAUUCCUUGUGUAGCGGUGAAAUGCGUAGAUAUAAGGAAGAACACCAGUGGCGAAGGCGGAUGACUGGACGGCAACUGACGGUGAGGCGCGAAAGCGUGGGGAGCAAACAGGAUUAGAUACCCCAGUAGUC
This 442-nucleotide ribosomal RNA is filed under the name uncultured bacterium. Its description in RNAcentral is "partial 16S ribosomal RNA". It matches the Rfam family "Bacterial small subunit ribosomal RNA", at positions 338 to 795 of the family's 1533-position model. The record is from RNAcentral.